ACUAAAUGUUGAGGAGGUGGCUUCAUUAAGGGUUGAAGUGCAUUUUUGCCAUAAAUAUAUAUAGUCAAUUAAAUGAUUAAGAUCAGAAUAUACACCCCAAUUCUCAGCUCAAACCCUCACCAUCUUCAUCAUAUCAAUUUCUUAUGAAAACCAAAAUUUCAAUUCACCAUAACUUAUUCGUUUUAGCUCGGUUUUGGUCGAUUCUUGCGGCUACGGAAAGAGGAAAACCAUACCUACUGAUUGAGCCCAAUAAAUCAAGGCAUCGACAAACUACGGAUUUGACGAUUUUGGCUAAGGGGUUCGGCCAAGACAAGGGAAUCGCAAAAGAAUUGGAAUAGCAAGUGUACCUAGACUUGGAGUGACUAGAAGUCCAUCAUUUUUCCGGGAGUCUGUCUUGCCAUGUACAGACCGGCUUCCGUGACCGCUGCAGUAGUACAUUGUGUGACCAGCCAUGACCUAGGACAAUAUUAUAGUUUUGGAAAAUGUUUAUAACGAUGUUAGAUUUACGUAGCCAGUGGUUACAAAAUUAAAUGCUUCCGUGUUAUAACAUAAUUGCGAAAAAUUUAUAGUGAA
Molecule: long non-coding RNA, 573 nt
Organism: Mercurialis annua (annual mercury)
Lineage: Eukaryota; Viridiplantae; Streptophyta; Magnoliopsida; Malpighiales; Euphorbiaceae
Exons: 3
Source: RefSeq, a predicted model, not a curated record